UUCGUAUCGCUUCAGAAACUUUGAAAAUGUAAAAAUGCAGAAAGUUUUUUGUGAUGGUAGUGACGAACUUCCGCUGUCGCCAGAAGUCGGCAUAUCUUUUUAUGGUUUACUUGCGCGUCGCACAAAAUGUCUGUUUUCGAUGUCUCCAGGAUCUUCCGAAAAUUUGCGUCAGCGAUGUUCAUCGCAUUGUUGAUGCCUGGUCCCCUGCUCCGACAAGCAAGAGGGACAAGGGCUUUAAACUCUACAUAUCGAGUUAUCUGCACAACUACAAGGGAGCACACACUCUACAAAGGCCUGACUGGAGAUUUGCCUGAUCUAUCCGUCCUUCAGGUGACAGCGGCUCACUUAUAGAGCAGGUGAAGCAAGUUGGGACAAUGUUGAAGACAUUUGCUCGCACUGGGCAAUCAGGUGCAGAUCAGACCCUAAUGCUGUGACGUCUUGGAGAGUUGUUUGUUUAGAAUUGGCAAUGUUGUGCGUAGCAUGGACAACAAAAUGGAUGCUAUGCUGCAACAUUUCAGUGCCAAUGUGUCUGUUGGAGAGUUAUCCCUGACAGGGGAUCUGUUACUCCCCCCUAGACACCCAGGAAGAUUUGGCGUUGCUUGACAACAGUUUGAGGCAGGAUAAAGAGCUCCAGCAACGAUUUCUUCGGUUUUUGGCAAUCAAAUGUGGGAGGGACCUAAAGACAACUGCGUGGCGAAUGCUUCAGAGUAUCUUCUCUAAUCACCUUUCCAUCAAUACAACCUGGACUGGUGUAGGGGAUAAAGCAUUGU
Molecule: long non-coding RNA, 770 nt
Organism: Xyrauchen texanus (razorback sucker)
Lineage: Eukaryota; Metazoa; Chordata; Actinopteri; Cypriniformes; Catostomidae
Exons: 5
Source: RefSeq, a predicted model, not a curated record